RNAcentral lists this ribosomal RNA (732 nucleotides) under Triticum aestivum (bread wheat). RNAcentral describes it as "partial small subunit ribosomal RNA". The record is from RNAcentral. Lineage: Eukaryota; Viridiplantae; Streptophyta; Magnoliopsida; Poales; Poaceae.
AUGGCCACCGGAGUCGCGCCGGAGCCGGAGGACGGGACCGUCGUCCUCCCCGAUUGGGCGAUGCUGGAUCGCAUCUUCUGCAGCCGGCUCCACGACGGCCUGGACGCUGCUCGUGAAGCUGUCAACAAGUACAAGACCGCCGCUCUAGUCGAGAUAGACAGCGGCCACUCCUGCUUCGUGUCCUUCACCCUCGCAGCUCCUCCACAGGCCUCCUCCUUCAACCUCCACUGGCCGGAGAAACAAAGCUCAGACAGACUCUUUGCCUUCGUCCGGGCAACCGACAAAAACCUCGUCCUCUUCGAGGUCUCCAUCCCGGUCCGGAUUCGCUACUUGGACGCCCCGACAGAUCUGUUCGUCUACACGGCCGACGGUCCUUCCCCCUCGGUGCAGCAGCUCCCUCAUCCCAGGACAAAGCGGUUCUUGGCUCAUAAGUUCAGCACCGGCAUCCUGCAGCUCGAAGCGGAGGACCGCUACAUUGUUGCCGACCUCAAUGUCUACCCUGAGAAAAAGGGGGCGCGUGCCGAACUCUGCGUGUUAAAUUCAGACACCGGAGAGUGGAGAAUCAUCCCCGAGGUGCCUGCCGGUCACCUCCCUGACCUCUGGUGGACCGACGAGGUGCUCGCUUUUGGCGGCCGUUUCCUGUGCUGGGUCGACUACUUCUCCGGCAUCGUACUAUGCGACUUCGCCAAAAAUAUAGACUCCCAGUGCUCCACUUCGUGCCUUUCCCUCUAA